This 89-nucleotide unclassified non-coding RNA is filed under the name Pseudomonas sp. NFIX10. RNAcentral also lists the same sequence under 1 other name. The record is from RNAcentral. Lineage: Bacteria; Pseudomonadati; Pseudomonadota; Gammaproteobacteria; Pseudomonadales; Pseudomonadaceae.
UGUGGGAGCGAGCUUGCUCGCGAUAGCGUCAGAUCAACCAGUAUUCAUUUGACUGGCACACCGCUAUCGCGAGCAAGCUCGCUCCCACA